GGAAGCGUGGCAGAGUGGAUGAAUGCUCCGGACUUGAACUCCGGCAAGCCUGCAAGGGCUCCGUGGGUUCGAAUCCCCCCGCUUCCGCCA
This 90-nucleotide transfer RNA is filed under the name Microvirga brassicacearum. Its description in RNAcentral is "Microvirga sp. CDVBN77 tRNA-Ser". It matches the Rfam family "tRNA". From Rfam's summary of the family: Transfer RNA (tRNA) molecules are approximately 80 nucleotides in length. Their secondary structure includes four short double-helical elements and three loops (D, anti-codon, and T loops). The record is from RNAcentral. Lineage: Bacteria; Pseudomonadati; Pseudomonadota; Alphaproteobacteria; Hyphomicrobiales; Methylobacteriaceae.